RNAcentral lists this ribosomal RNA (396 nucleotides) under uncultured bacterium. RNAcentral describes it as "bacterial SSU rRNA". It matches the Rfam family "Bacterial small subunit ribosomal RNA", at positions 30 to 429 of the family's 1533-position model. The record is from RNAcentral.
AUUGAACGCUGGCGGCAUGCCUUACACAUGCAAGUCGAACGGUAACGGGCCUUCGGGUGCCGACGAGUGGCGAACGGGUGAGUAAUGCAUCGGAACGUACCUUUCAGUGGGGGAUAACGUAGCGAAAGUUACGCUAAUACCGCAUAUUCUGUGAGCAGGAAAGCAGGGGAUCGCAAGACCUUGCGCUGAUUGAGCGGCCGAUGUCAGAUUAGCUAGUUGGUGAGGUAAAGGCUCACCAAGGCGACGAUCUGUAGCGGGUCUGAGAGGAUGAUCCGCCACACUGGAACUGAGACACGGUCCAGACUCCUACGGGAGGCAGCAGUGGGGAAUUUUGGACAAAUGGGGGCAACCCUGAUCCAGCCAUGCCGCGUGAGUGAAGAAGGCCUCGGUUGUAAG